RNAcentral lists this ribosomal RNA (464 nucleotides) under uncultured bacterium. Its description in RNAcentral is "SSU rRNA". It matches the Rfam family "Bacterial small subunit ribosomal RNA", at positions 26 to 518 of the family's 1533-position model. The record is from RNAcentral.
AGGAUUAACGCUGGCGGCGUGCCUGACACAUGCAAGUCGAACGAGGCCGCAAGGCCGAGUGGCGGACGGGUGAGUAACACGUGACCAACCAACCUCGAAGUUGGGAAUAGCUCUGCGAAAGUAGGGGUAAUACCGAAUGUGGCCCAGGGCGGGCAUCCGCCUUGGUCUAAAGAUUCAUCGCUUCGAGACGGGGUCGCGGCCUAUUAGCUUGUUGGUGAGGUAACGGCUCACCAAGGCGAUGAUGGGUAGCUGGUCUGAGAGGACGACCAGCCACACUGGGACUGAGACACGGCCCAGACUCCUACGGGAGGCAGCAGUGAGGAAUCUUCCGCAAUGGGCGAAAGCCUGACGGAGCAACGCCGCGUGUGGGAUGAAGACUCUAGGGUUGUAAACCACUGUCGGAGGGGACGAUCGUGACGGUACCCUCAAGAAACGCCCCGGCUAACGUACGCGCCAGCAGCCGC